Molecule: ribosomal RNA, 301 nt
Filed under: uncultured bacterium
Lineage: Bacteria
Description: partial 16S ribosomal RNA
Rfam family: Bacterial small subunit ribosomal RNA
Source: RNAcentral
CAGCCGCCGCGGUAAAACGGAGGGUGCAAGCGUUAAUCGGAAUUACUGGGCGUAAAGCGUGCGUAGGCGGUUCGUUAAGUCUGUUGUGAAAGCCCCGGGCUCAACCUGGGAAUGGCAAUGGAUACUGGCGAGCUAGAGUGUGUCAGAGGAUGGUGGAAUUCCCGGUGUAGCGGUGAAAUGCGUAGAGAUCGGGAGGAACAUCAGUGGCGAAGGCGGCCAUCUGGGACAACACUGACGCUGAGGCACGAAAGCGUGGGGAGCAAACAGGAUUAGAUACCCCGGUAGUCCCUGUCUCUUAUAC